UCAUAAAAUUGAUUUCCCAGCUGUAUAGGUGGGUCGAGCCAUUGUUAACAAUGAGGAUUACGCCAGGAACAGAAUAGUCAAUAAUAUCAUAUUAGACAAAAAGAUUGUAGACGUUGUCGCAGGACAGGACCACAGCCUACUAAUAGAUGAGGAUGGGGGUGUGUGGGGAGCAGGCUGGGGGGCAGACGGUCAAACGGGUCUACAGCAUUAUAAUAAUACUCAACACUUUACUAAACUAGAAGGAGAUAUAAAGAAUGAGAAAAUGAGGAAAAUUUCUUGCAGAGCUGAUUGUGUUUUGGCGCUUAAUGACAAGGUGAAUAGUGACACACCAUUAAAUAAUUAAUAUUUUUUAAUAAGUAAGGAUUUAUUUUCGAUUGAAUUUGAUAAUAUUAACCGAUUCUUAAUUCUUCACGGGUCUUAUGCCAAUGUCAUAUAGAAUACUUAACAAACAAGCUUUGUUUAUUUACAGUAUUAUUAAAACAAAAAAUAAUCCGACCCUUACAAAAAUUUUAAGACAAGCAUUAGAAUACCCAGCAGAUGCUUACACAAAGUCAUGGAUGAAAAUAGAAGCUCAAGUUGGUUUAAUUGCAAACUAUGCUAAAAAAACUCACUUGCAAGCUGCGCUUACACAAAAAGCAGUGGCAUUUGUAUUGAGUGUUAAAAGGCAACACUCUACUUUAAACACAACCCCCCAGCCUUGGCACUGGUUUAAAAUGCAAGAUCAUGUAAAUGAUUCAAAGGCAAAUAAAAUGUUAUGCCAAAUCAGGGGAGGAAAUGCUCAAUUAGGCAAUAGAUACAAAAAUAGAUAUGGUUUUAAAUAUGAAUUUUGCCCACACUGCGAAACAUUUGGCGUUCAUAUUAAACUAGUUGAAUCUCAUGUUAUUUUUGAAUGUCCAAUGGUAGCCUCACUCCGACGCGAGUUAAAGUUAUCUAAUUACAUGGCUGCACACAAGGCCAAGGGACCAAUAGCAAAUGUUAAAAUACUAAGAAGUUACCUUGGCGGAGAUGGUUCAAAGGGGAAAUCCCUAAUGGAAAGAGGUAGAAAGUUGAAGAAAAUUAUUGAAACAUGGCUAACAGCGGUACAUGAACCAGCUCUUUUCUAAUAAUAAAAAAAAAAAAAAAAUAAAAAACGUAGGAAGCCAAGUUUAUACUUAUUUAACAUUUUAUUACCC
Eurytemora carolleeae is the source of this 1172-nucleotide long non-coding RNA. RefSeq lists it as uncharacterized. NCBI's taxonomy places the organism in Eukaryota, Metazoa, Arthropoda, Copepoda, Calanoida, Temoridae. The transcript has 3 exons. The record is from RefSeq and is a predicted model, not a curated record.